This is a long non-coding RNA of Chelonia mydas (Green sea turtle), 21110 nucleotides long. RefSeq lists it as uncharacterized. The transcript has 6 exons. The record is from RefSeq and is a predicted model, not a curated record. Lineage: Eukaryota; Metazoa; Chordata; Testudines; Cheloniidae.
UUGUUAGGCUCUAAGGUGCCACAAGUAUUCCUUUUCUUUUUACCUAUUCUUUAGGAUUCUGUACUGAUGGGACUGUUUCUUUCAGAGAUAAUAUUAAGGCUGAAACUCCCAACAGCAGGAUCUUCUGAAACCAUCUUACUGAUUGUUCAGAGGUCUGAGGGCAAUCAUCUGCAUUUCUUAUUUCUUAUUUUAUCUCCUUUGGAUUCCUGGGAUAAUUCAUUCCUUCUUUUUGCUUUUCAGACACAAAGAAUCAGGAGUUUGUCUGCUACAACCGCUUUGGGUAAUGCAGACUGAGAGCUGAGGGAUUCGUGAGAUAGGAUGGGAACAGUUGCACCCAAACAGCUGCAUUGCCUGACACCCACAUGCAAGUGGAAUUGGCUCAAUGCUGGUGUGCACUGACCGCAGAAAGAAAUACCAACUGCACUAGCGUUUUAAGACUAGCAGAGGAUGUUUUAUAAACACCUAAAAGAGCAUGCAUCAUAAAGUAAAAUAGGAAUACAAUUCUUUUGGAAGAAUACAUCUGUAUUGACAACGGUUUACAAAUUAGACACCUCAAGUAAUAUUUCUAGGCACAUUAAUCUGAAUUACUCUGGACAAAAUAGUACACUAUGACAUUUACAGUUCAUCACGCUAAUAUAUAGCUAACUUUCUUUUUAGUAGAACUGCACAAUGCAUAACACAUUGAAAGACAAAUUUAUAGGCUUAUUUUUUCAUAUUGCAAGCAAACUGUGAACAUGAAAUGCUUUCUAAUUUUAGUUUUCUUACUGCAGGCAAAUGAAACAAACUGCUGGGAAGGUAAUGAGAAUACAUUACUUCAUUCAUUCUCCCCUCUGUUAUACUGGUGCCUCCCCCUGGAAUUUAAUGGGGUGGCACCGGUGUAACUGAGUGGAGAAUUUGGACUUCACUAUUUAAAACUGGAAUGAAAUUCAGGUUUUCUCAGUACUGGUAACAAGUCUUGAUCCUUUUUUUGCUGAGUCCAGCAGCAGAAACAUUAUUAGUAUUGAAGAAAACGUAUUGAUUUUUAUCGUAGUUCCAAACACAGAGGGCAAAAUUCUUCCCUCACACCAGUGAAAUGUCAUUAUAGACUAUGGAAUUUCAUUAGAGUAACUAAGAGAAGAAUUUGGUUCAGCUAUUGUUCCCAUGUAACAUCUGAGCUAGUGCAUAAGUUCUGUGAGUUGGGACCUUAGGGAAAAUUCACCCCUGAACUGAAGCCAUUUUAUUCCAGCUGUGCUCAAAGUGGUGGAGGAUCCACCAGUUAAUUCCCUCCUGUGCAGACUGCACACUCCUCGCAGUGUAGAGCCAACUGUGCACUGACACUGUGGAAGCCCCAGUGCAUGGGCUAUUCUAGAAGAAAGGGCAGGCCAGAGGAUGGAAGGGACAGAGUAGGCAGAAAUAGGUAUGGCUGGAGUUGAUCACUGAUUUUCAGCUGAUGGAACCAUAUAUAGGGGCUAUAACAGCAGAAGUGCAAGUUAGGGAAGUCCCAGAGUAGCUGUAGCCUGUGCUUUGUUCCACAGCAGCAGCCAAUUACUGGAGGUGUAAGCACCCCACCUUCUCUAGCACUAGUACAAUGGGGGUCUGCUUACAUCUGUCAGUUUGUAUUCAUAUUUGACAAAUUCAAAAGCCACCUCAAUCCAUGCACAAUAACUAGAUACAACUGUUGUUCGUCUGGUUUUGUCCAAUUAGAAUGCAGUGAGAAUUAAGUCACGGGAAAGAAAAGAGUGCAAUAUUCCUACUGAUUGAGGUUAUUUCUUAAAAACAAAAACUGUGAAAGAUGUGAGUGACUAAUUUUUGGAGAAGGACUGGUGACUCAGGUACAAAAUUUCUCAAUAGUAAUGCCAAUUUUGCAUUCUUGGAAAAGUGUGAAAUAAAUAAAAAUUAAAAAUGUGUUAAUGAUUUAUCUUGAAAAUAAAUAUUAAAUUUUGGUCCAUAUAAAUCAUUGGUUCUUUAUGAAUUAUGGCAUACCUUCAAUAGUUAUUUAUUCUAAAACAUGAAUCGGUUAUACAUACAUGAACCCAGGGCAAUUAUGUAUAUCUGAAUACAAAAUAUGGCUUUUAACCUGUUUUACAGUUUAAUACUCCUACUGAAUUUAUAAUGAAAAGGAGAAUGGGGAAGAGAAUAAAAAUGUGAUUCUUGAAGUGAGACUGUUCCAAAAAAGGAAAAGGUUGCACUACUGAGGAAAUACUGAGGAAGAAUGGAUUUGAUUUGCUGGGACUAUUCCAUCUUUAACUUAACUGCAAUACAUAUGCAGGAAUGAGUUCCAGAUUCAUGGGCUGGUCACCAAGAAAGCUCUCUCUCCUCUGCACACACGCAAAUUUCAUCCUUGAGGCUGACAGUCCCACUGUUUCAGUGGGACAUAGUGAUUUUGGGAGGUCAUGUUCAUGCAGAUGAGUCAAUCCUGCAGCUACUUGGGCUUGGCCCAGGUUCUUCCUGAAGCAGCCGAAAUAGAGGCGCUGAUGUCAUUCUCACCUGGAUUGCCAUACAUGUACCUCCUGUGUUGAGGGUUCACAGCAGCCGUCCUACACCUCACCUAUGGAGGUCCACAGAAGAUAGACUACAAACCUCAGUGAAUUGGAGAGCUCACACAAUGUACAUUCACAGAUGGAGGAAAAAAGAACCCUUUCUCUCCUUGGCAAGAUGAGGGUCCCCCAGGAGUUAAGCACAACUGAAGUGUAUAGUGCACAGACACAGAGGAAAAGGAGGCUGUGGGAAGGCAGAGAAAAAGGUGGAGCAGCAUUUUCCAGAAAUUUAAGUCAUCUGUAUCUCUAGAUGGCUUUUCCUCUGGUUAGAUUCUCAGUUUUAUGGAUCAUUAUGUUGGCUUCUACAUACCUAUGACUCACUUACAUGAUCCCUAUUUGGAUGUAUGUGUCACACAGGAAAGUUCAAAUCUCCCUUGAUUUCAGAAUCCUUGAUUUCUGGCUCCUUGAUAACUAGCCCUGGAACUGUCUGUCUUGUUCUCUCCACCCCCAUAGUGGAGGUUUUUUCACCUUGUUGAAGUUUCUCUUUUGUUUUCUAUAUACAGUAUUGAGUGCUUCUUCCUCAAAGUAUUUUCAGAGUGCCUUUUUCAUUAUCAAACCUUACUGGUUUUAUAAAUAGAUUGCCAAUUAGUACUACACUCCUUCCAGUUCUUCCCCUUCUAUGUCCAGUAUAGACUUUAUCAUUAAUGUGAACUUUCGAGUUGUGAGAAUCACCUCAACAGUUUCAGUUCCUGCCUCAUUUCUGCUGGCCUCUCAGAGUUCAAGAUGUGCAUAUCAUCUGGAACUCAGUUUAUACUACAAUAAUAUACACUUAAGCAGCAGACUGUAAUAGCUAUAAAGGAUUUGUUGCAGUUUAUUGAAUAAACAACACAAAUAUCACCCCCAGUAUUUACUGAGUCUUAAAUAUGUAUUUAUAUGAGCACAAAUACUGCAAAGAAUGUUUCUGUGGGAAUUAUUUCUCAGGGCUGACAGGAGAUCAAACAGGAAAAUACUGAGAAAGGAAGAGAAAAUCCUUAAGUUAUUUUUUUAGAGAAAAAAAAACUUUAAUUUUUUUUUUAAAUUCUGAAGGGUCAUUGUAGUAUUAUUAGUUGAAUUGUUCAAUUUACUCAUGCCUAGUCAUUAAUGUUUAACUGUUCCACCUAAAUUUCCAAAGAUUUACACACAAUAGAGUCUCAAUAAGCCUAUAAAAGUCAAUGGGUGUUGUGUUUCUAAAUCCCAUGCAGCUAUUUGAAAGUUUAGGGGCUAAAAUUGAGGAUUGUUGGUAUUGUUAAUGGAUGAUCAUGGUGGGAUAGAUUAGAAUGUAUAGACCCAUCAAAAAUCUCCACAGAUUUAUAUGGGAACUAAGAAGCAAUGAAAUCAGUCAGGAUUGCAAGAUAAGGAAGCAUGUGUGUUUCUAUGCAUGUACACAGGCAUACUACAUAUGUGGAGGUUAUAUCCAUGUGAUAAAUUGCACAGCCAUACAAUAAAUUGCAGAGCCAUGUGAAAAUAAAUUUAUUAUGCACCACUGAGUGCCUCAUAUGCCAAUUAAUGCAUCUCCCCAGGACAUAUUCUACCAUUUCAACUAGCUUCGCCCAGCCAGCAAUUCAAAACAAAACAAAACAAAAACUAAAAGCCCUAAUAGAGGGCUUUUUCCUUCUCCCCCAAAUGUCGAAUUCCUCCCAAAGGAUUUUCCUGUUAAAAGACUGGAUCAGCCAGAUUUAGACCAUGUUAAUAUAGUUGCAAAAAGCCAGGCAAGAAGAGGAAGGGCUGGGAGAGGGUUGUAGACAGAAGCUCUACAGUAAGGUGGAAAGACAUAGAUAGAGCUAUUUUACGGAUAACAGCAUUUCCUUUUUUCUAAUAAAGUUCCUUGUUCAGUGUUAGUAAUGAUCUGUGAUUCUCUAGCACUUUUACGUGGCACCCCUUUCUUCACUUUCCCCUUAUUGCCCACUUAGUCUAGAAGCCCAUUCUCCUCAAAAAGAAUCUCUUCUUGCUCACUCUUCCCAUUGCUGUGUCUGGUCUUGUAUCCAUUUGUCUUGUCUCUCUUAGGUUCUGAUCCUACAAUUGGAUCUGUAGGAGAGUACCACAGAUUAUCACUAAAGUCAGUGGGGCUCCUCCACAUAGGUACAAGGGUUUGUGCACAUGGAUUAUAUUUGCAGGACAUGACUAAUCUUGCAAGUGACUCUGCAUGGGGGCAAGUGUCUGCUCAUGAAGAAUCAUUUGCAGGACUGGGGCCCGAGCUGGUAAGUGCUGUCUUUGGUGAAAUUUUGGGGUAGUGAAUUAAAACAAGCAGUUGCCUGAAAACGUAGAUAUUUUAUUGUACAUGGUGAUUAUUGGUUUAUGUACUGUAAAUUAUUAAUCAAUAGAUUUUAAAUAAAAAACAUUCACUGAGGGCGAGAACCAACAUAAAUUUACAAACCAAUAAGUAAGUCAAUGAAUGGACAUAAUAAAAAGGCAAGUGUAUUGCAUUACUACAUAGCCUUUGUUAAUUUAUUUUGACAAUCAUAGUUCAGGUUUAAUUGUAUAUUAUAACACUUCCUAUAGGAGUAAAUAUUGCAUAGUAUGUUUUUGUAAAAAUAUUGAUGCCUUAGUAAUGUUAAACAUUUUCUGUGAGGCGAAGACAGACUGUGUGAGGUUUAUGAGGUGUGUGUAUUAGUGAGGUUCUGUUGCUAUAUUGAAUUGACUUUCCUAAGGAAACCUCGGUGUUUCACAAGGAAGUGAUCUUCCCUGCUGAGGCUUUCCAACAAUUUGUACAUGUCACUCUUUCAGGUUUCAGUAUUGAUUGUGGCUUCCCAUUGCUCAUCCUACAGACACCAUCCUGGACAACAGAGGCCUGAAUUUGAGCUUCAUUACAUGAGGGAAAAUCAGGAUUAAUACCAAUUAAAUCGGAGCUGUUACACCAGUGUUGAAGCAGAAUCAAGCUCAAAGUAGCUUCACUGGCUUCUGAUUGCUUGUUAUUAUUGAAUACUCCAUAUCAUUUUAAAGUGGUACAAAGAUAAUUAUUUUGUAAAUACUCCCUGCUGCCUUGAUGUGCCAAGCAGUUUGGAUGCAUCCCAGGAUCUAGCUCCCUAAGCAUUAAGAUUCUAGCCAUGCCUUUCAAUUAGCCAAUGUGAGAUACAAUGUGAAAGAAUGGCCUAGAGUGAGGGAAACAAAAAAAAUCUAUUCAUACUGGAAACUUAAAGUACUGAGCAAUUCAUAUCUGUAGUGUAAAUAACUCUCUCUAUAUUCUUAGUUUCAUGAUUCUUUAUUUCUGAUAUAAAUCAUUUUCAACUACAAAAGUGAGGGCAUGAUAAGUUAGAGUAGGAUGUAGGGAAUUUUGGGACUAAAAUGAGGGAUAACCCUCCAAACAGGGGCCAUUUGAGAGGUAUACUUUUAAUGGCACAAUUUUGCACAGCCUGGUUCUUACACUAAGAUUUUUGGGAACAUGGUAACAAAGGAAUAUAAGGCAGGGCAGUAACCUAACCUCGAGGCUUCAAAACGUGAACUACAAUCUGUUGAGAGCGUUGUUUUUUUCAGAUUUAAAAUGUGAUUUUUUUACUUCUGCAGAAGUAAAGGAACUUUGCUUUUAAAAGUAGCUCCAUUGAUACUUAUGAUUAAACACAUAAGGGCAAACCACAAAAUAUAUUAUUGGAUACACUAAUGUCUUAAAAGGAUGCAUCCAUCUUAAACAAGGUCCUUGGAGAGUAUAUUAAAGGCUUGUCUUCACUACUGAAGCAAGUUGACCUAAGUUACGCUACUCCAGCUAUGUGAAUAACGUAGCUGGAUUCGACAUAGCAUAUAAUGGUGUCUUCACUGCUCAGCGUCAAUGAGAGAUGCUCUCCGGUUGUCUUCCUGUACACUUCUUGGAGAGCUGGAGUACUGAGGUCGACUGGAGAGCGCUCUGCCUCGACCCCUGCUGCAUCGAUUGCAGCAACGUCGAUCUCCGUGUAGUGAAGACAAGCCCUCGGAGUGGUGAUAGUAAGAACCACUGCAGCAGAGGAAGCCCAAUCACAAGGUUGAGAUUGGAGACACUGGGCUUGCUUCUCCUCGGCAGAGUAGUGCAGAUUUCACCUUUUCCACAAGUAACGGCUGCUGCACCCUCUAGGGGUUUCAUGGCAAGGGAGGGCAAGGAGUGUUUGCUGUGCUGCCCUAUCUCACAGGCUCUGUCAGGGAAGGGCUUCUAUGAAUCCCUGCUGGCAGAGGCUACCCAGGAGAGAGACGAAAACAGUGCAUGGCUGUGCCAGUGUUACCUGGCCAUGACACCUUCAUCAUCCACUUCUGAGUUACUCUGACCACAUUUGGGCUCUCUGACAGAGUGGGAGUUUCAGAAAUCUUGCCCAGCUUCAGCCUUCUGCAGGUGGGCUUUGUACUUCUGGAGACUUUCUGUGCUGGCUCCAGUGAAUCAAGGUCAGAUGGUAUCUUUUACAGAGACCUCAGGGUCAAAUUGUAUGUAUAUAAGUGGCUCCCAGAAUUUGCACUUAGUGCAUGUGGAAUUUGACUUUACAAUAAUGGACUUGUAGAUCAUGCAAUGCAGGAAUUCUCCUGCCUUUUACUCUGAUCCUUUCCUUGGAAACAUAUUUCACAACCUUGUGUCCCUGAGUCACCCUAAAUCUUUGUACAUAAUUUCAUCUCAAGUCCUCCUUGAAGUUCCUUCUUAAAAUACACACCUUCCAAAAGGCUUAUAGAUACCCUCCUUCCCUUCAUUCAAGUGUUAACAAAAUCCAUGUUAGUAAAUAAAUAAAUAAAAUAAUCACACAACUAGCAAGAUGAGCUCAAGUACCACUCAGUUGCUGUGUUUUUGUUAUAUCCCUUCUCCCAUCCUUCAUCGGUGCAUUAUCUAUUUAGAGUGUAAGCUCCUUGGGCCAACAGCCUUUUCUCUGCAUUUGUUUGUAGAAUGACUAGCACAUAUUGGUUGCAUCAUUGUUAUUUAUUAUUUGUUAAACACCAACAGCAAGCUUGCACCGUGCAAAACACAAAGGAAGACACAGGCCCUGCUCCAGAUAAUCUAAAUAAUCAUGAAUAUGCAUUUGCUUCUCUGGAGAAGAGAGAACAAAAACUCUUCUGGCUACGGUCUUUGUUCCAGGUUGAGAAAGGAUAAAAGCAAUGGGCCAGAUCCUCAUCUGGAAAUUUCAAUAGAGUAAUGCUGAUCUACACUAGUUAAGGAUCUGGCCCAUUGUAUUGGAGCAGGAGGUAAGAACUAUCCCAUCUGUACUGCUUGGACUUCAGCCAGUUUCAUUUACUAAAUUUUGGGGUGUGGUUAGGGAACUGGAACCAAUCAGCUAUGAUGUAGAUUCGUGUCCUUUGUGACUGACUAAAGCUAGUGGAGAGACAUGGGGCAUAUCAUGGAUGAGGCAUGGGGCAUAUCAUGGAUAAUAAUGCUCUGCAAGAGGACAAGCUGCCAACGACACUUAAACAAGCAUCAGUUAGUCCCUUCCAGAGAAACCACCCUUAGAUGUUAACAGCCUCCCCAGUCACCCACUUGGACCCCAAUUUUUUGGGAAGGAUGAAUAGGUGGUAAUGGGUCAUCUCCAGCUAGAUUUAGAUUCCACACAUUUGUUUUACCUUGAGCAGUGCAAGUUCAGAACUGUGUAUAGGACUGAGACUAUACAGAUAUUUUUGGCUGAUAAUUUCAUAGUUGUAAUGGAUAAGAUGUGUCUGUGGUGAUUUGAUUGGAUCUCGCUAAAGCUUUUGAUACCAUUGACCAUGAGGUCUGUACUGACUCACCUGCAAGAUCUUGCACAAGCGAAUGGACUGGCCCAUCAGUGGGUUCAUUUGUUACUUUCCAGGUCAGUGCUGAAUGAUGAAUUGCUCUUUCUCUCUGUGGGCCUGCCUAUGCCAGAUCCUGCAGGAUUCUGUCUUAUUCCCUCUCCUGUUUAAUGUAUAUAUGAAGCCUCUAGUGUAUUUUCCAGGAGCCUCUCUGAUGAUCUGGCAGAAAUAGGGAGCUGGAUAAAAACAAACUGGCUAUGACAGCCAGGAUAAGACUAAAGCAAUACUUGUCAACAAGGGGAAGUAUAUAAAAGAAUUGACAGAAGUAGUGUCUGCAGCACUGAUUGAGGGAACAUACUCACUUCUGCCAAAAUGGUGUUCUGGCUACGGGUCCUAUUAGACCUAUUGCUGAUUCUGUAUUCUCAUCAGCAAUGACUUAUAAUAUCUGUCAUGGUCUGUGGGUGGUCAGGAGAUUGUGUCUAUUCCUCUCUGUGAUGACCUCACAAUGGUCAUCCAUACCGUUGUUACUGCAAUAAUCUCUACUUAGGGAAAACCUUGAAGUCCACCCAGAAGGUCCAUCUGGGGUAGAACACCUGAGUGAUGUCAGCUACCUUGAGUCCUUAAAGCCUGUGCUCAAAUCUCUGUGUUAGAUUUCUAUUUAUUCCAGAUGGAAUUGAAACUCUUGCUUGUGAUCUUCAAAGUCCUGGUGGGGUGAGAUCUAAUUAUUUGGAAUACUGUCUGUCACCUGAAGCCCCAUCAUAAAAGUUCAGAAAAAAUGGGAGACUCUUGAUAUUAAUUCCUGAAGUAAGUUUGAAGUACUCCUUGUCUGGCAGCAAGAUUUCCUUAGUUGAGAGCUGUCAUUGGCUUUGGAAUUUGCUUCCCUUGGAAGUCCAACAGAACUUGAGUAUAGUGACCUUCAGGGCAUAAUGCAGGGCACUUAUUUUGUUUAUCAUUUGAAUGACUGCUUUUGUUUUUGUCCUUGCCAUACCUAAUUAGUUUUUAAUCUUUGCCUAGCUAGUAUAGCAAUAGGUGCUACAGAAAAGAGAAAAUAAACAAAUAUGUGCUUUGUUUGAUGGACAUCAAGGAAUAUGUGAGGCCUUCCUUCUGCAUUGGAGCAGCUCACCCUGCUAAAGACUUUCCUACUUAGUCAUAAGUAGUUAUAAGCAUUGCAUGGGGUGCUUAUAACUCGGAUGAGGGAUUAUGCAAGCAGUUAAUGACACAAGGAUGAAGUUUGCAGUUUUCUUGUUCCGUCUUUGAGGCAGCUAGCACCCAAUGGCUAUCUGAUGUAGAGAACAGGGUCAGUACCUCUGAGGAAAUGAAGGCCAGAGUCAGCAAGGGCUGUGAGACACAGAUGGAGAAGUAUCCUCACUUAGCAAAAGAAGUAGAUAAUUUAGAGAACCAGUUGGUCUACCUGAGUCUACAGUAUUUUCCUCUGAUUCCUAGUACUAAUUGGGCUUGGGUGACAGGGCAUGGAUCACUUGAUGAUAACCUGUCUGUUCAUUCCCUUUGGGGCAACUGCCAUUGGCCACUGUCAGAGGACAGGAUACUGGGCUUGAUGGAUCUUUGGUCUGACCCAGUAUGGCCGUUCUUAUGUUCUGAACUGGAGUCCUGGCUAUGGUAAAAACCCUUGUGCUGUCAUCAUUAUUAUUUUUUUAAAACUUUGGCAAUAGAGGGAGAGUCUACAGGAUACUUAUUCUCAGCCCAUAUACUGUGCCAUGGAUAAAAAUUACAUUUUUCCCCCCAGAAAUUUUCAGUGAAGCUUGAAAGAGAGAGGAAGGAUCAAAAACCCAGAGCUGCAGUGAGAACAAAAGUUUGUAGCUCUUUCCCCUAUAGGACUCCAAGUAGUCUACAAGGGACAGAAACUGUUAUUUUUUUUUAACAAUUUACUGAAAGGGGAGAACUGUAUAUAGAAAAUGAACAACAAGAAAGGAAUAUCAUGAACAAAAUCGUCUAUUUGCUAUUAUGGCACAGAUUGAACAGCAUCAUCAGGAGAAGAGGUGGCUAAGAGGGUUUCAAACCACUUUUAUGGCCUCAGUUCCAGUCAUGGAAUGUCCAGCUGCCAGUCUGUGGAUUGGCCUAAAGUAGAGCACCUUUCUUUCCCCCCCAUCCACACCCCAUAUAUGGGGGACUGGAGUGGGAAUGGCAUUGGAACUGCUAUGGGAUCUUUAUAUCACUAGAAGAUCCCCAUUGUAUCCACAUGUGUAUGGCUUCUUUGUGCCAGUGAACCAGUGCAGAGCCUCUGUUUCUAUGUUACUCCAAUCUUUCAUAACGUAUUACAUUGACUUCCUGUUAAAUAUUUCAUUAAUCCCAAAAUUUCUUAUAUUCCCCCCUUGAUACAUGUCUAACUCUAAUUAAACUUAAUAGCUGUUAUGUGCACACAUCGUGGGUAGAAUAGCCCAUUUUUAAAGGGGUUCAAAAAUGGAGAGACACAUCUUUAACUGAACUGCUCUAAGUUAUUCUGUGGAUCAUCCGAAGCAGCUCUAUAUACUAUUUCGCUGUUUAAGAUUAGGAAAAUAGUUCUUGGUUGCUAGCUGAAAUAUGGAAAUCAGUCUUGACCAGCAUCCAAGUUGCCAAAUUAAUAAAUAUUCAAAUCUAAUCUCAAAUAAGAAUUCAUUUCUCAGUUAAAUCUGAAUGAUAGAGCACCUUUUGCACUUUGGUAUUAAUGUGUUCGGGAAAUACACACAUGUAUGUAACAUUAUUUUGUAUUGUAAAAACAUACUAUAUUAUACCAUAUUAUAUCAUGCAAAAUCAUAAGUAGCUACAAGGUAUUUAAGCACAUGCCUGACUCUAAACACGAGUAGUCCAACUGAUUUCAGUGAGACUACUUGUGCUUAAAGUUAGGCACGUGCUUUACUACUUUGAUAAAUCAGUCAGUGCCAAUACCAUUUAUAUUUAGACCUUAUUACAGGCCUUUUUAUCUAUGGUCAUUGAAUUACCUCUAAAAUGAAAACAAAAAUAUUUUAAUAUUAGCGUUUUAUACACAGCACAUUUGAUAUUUGUCUAAAUGAUGUGAAGAAUAAUGUCAGAAACCCUCUAUGGCAGGUUCAAUAAAAAAUAUGUUCAGUUGGCACUCUUUGGAAGACAGGGCAAGGCUGAUAAAACUUGGUGCAGAAGCUGAAUAUAUUUUUAUUGGAUGCAGCUCUUAGAGACCAUACAGUUGAAAAUGGGUAUAAAUGCGUUUAUAUAUAACUUUUCUAAGUGCUUGCCCUUCAGCCAUCCUGCAAUAGUAUAGAUCAGAAGUGUAGUUUUAAAAAGUUAGGAUGGGUUGAUAAUAUGAAAGUUCUUAGAUGUUUUUAAAAAAAUGGUUCACAUGCAUUUUCAGAUGUACUGUUCUCUGAAAUGUCUGUUUUCAAUGGUUAUAAUGUGCUCUUUACUUAAGAUAUUUAUUAGUUUUACAAAUCUGAAACUAACAAACAAGUCUCUGCUUACUAUAUUGUGUUGUGGUAGUACCUAUGCACAUUAUUUGUGGUUGUCUUUUUUUUCAAUACAAAACAAGUCAUGAUUAAUAUAAAUGAGCCCAGAUUGAUUCAGAUACAAUAAGGGCUGAAGAGUGAUGGCUGAUGCAAAGAGGGGUUAUUAGUAUUGUUCUUGCUACGUGAUGAAUUAUACUACAUCAUGCAUUAAAACAAUAAAUUGUCCUUCAGGGUAUCAAAGAUAUGAGCAAACAACAUGAUGGCAAAUACAUGGUCUUUUAACAGAUAGAAAAAGUUUGAAAUUCAGCAAUAAUUUGAAGACUAUUUUCUGAGUUUCAGAGCAUGAAGGAAGGGAUGCUGCAGUGUCUCAGGAUAGUUUUGGUCACUGAACUUCUUGCCUCUUUAAACUCCCCUGGGCUCCAAUCCUGCACACCUUACUCUAUCAAAGCCACCACUGUAGUUAAGGAGAGCUUUAACUGAGAAAGAAGUACAGGAUUGGGUCCUCUGUUCUUUGGAAGUGGCAGGUUUAGCAAUAACCCAGAAUGAAUGUACUUGAUUAGCUUUCAUGUACAGGGAUGGAGUAGGUCAGAGAAAACUAUUCUCUCUCUCUUUCUCUCUUGAUAUAGAUAGAUAAAAUAGAGGUGCUUACUUUUGUAAAUACUCUGGUGGACUAUGGCUGCUAAGAAACUUUUGUCUGUCAUCAUGAUCACGGGAGAAACAAGUGGCCAGCUGUGGUUUCACAGGUGCAUGGAAGAAACCUGCAGAAGGCAGCUGUGGAAGUAACAUGGGAAAAUGCUGACAGGGAAAAUUUACCCUUGUAUAGGAUUUUUCAUUUCAAAGUGCUUGUAAAAGGUGUUGGAGAGGGAUGACUUUUACUAAGUGAUGAAGUAUAGCAUAGGCAGCAUCAAUGCAAGCUCCCCCUUCACUACUCCAACUAUUUUUUGGAGGAACUAGCCCCAGUACUAAAGUUUAGUCAGCAUGCUUCCUCUGUCCCUGGACUUUUUGCUGAGCGUUCCAGUAAAGGAGCCACUUCGUAUGAAAUAUAACAAUGGUUUUCAAGAUAUGGGGAGACCUGUCUACUGGGAACGUGAUUUUGAACAUCAACCUAUUUCAUAUAUAGGCCCAACAUUCAGCAGAAAGUCACUACUUACUUGAGUUAGAUUUGAACUGCUGACCUUGAAGAAGAAAAGUUCCAUAACUCAUUAUCCGCCUUGAGCUAGCUGGUUACUAACACCCAGGAUGGAAUCUCAGCCCUAUUGAAGUCAACAGGAGUUUUGUCAUUGACAUUGAUGGAGCCAAGAUUUCAACCCUGCUCUUUAACAUUGAGGUGGAUUUUCUGCAUCCUCAUCAGUAACAGGCCAUAAAUCUAGCCACAUCAUCAAGGCUCAGCUACUCACUGCCAUUGCUCUCCUGGUAAAAGUCAUGCACAGUCUUUAGUUCCUAGAAGUGAUGAGGACACCUGAUAGAAAAAUCAGGAAGAACCCAGUUCCUAAAGGGAAGAAAAGAAGUCCAACCACAAGGUAAAAACGAGAGCUAAUGUGUUAGAGGUCCUACUUCCUUCGUGUAGGCAUUGGACUUUGUCAUACAGAAACUUAUGUCAAAGUUCUUGUGACAGAAUAUACCUCCAUGUCCAUUAUUGUAAUAAUCUUUGUACAAAGUGUGCCUUGUGAGGUAUCAUUUAAAAACUCAUAAUUUGCUGGUCAUUAUUGUCCUGGCAAAAUAUAUUGGCAACAUUGUAUAUAAAGUUAUAAGAUUACACUGUAUGGUGUUACUAAAACAUGUUCCAAAUCUGGGGAAUGGCCAAACCAGUUCCUCAGAGACAAAGGGCAAGCUGAUGCCUCAGUCAGAUGUAAACUAGGCCAAUGGUCCAUUACCUGCUACAUGGCCAUUCUUUGACAGGAAAGGGGGCAUGCACAAAAAAUCUUAGCAAAGAAGCAGCAGAGUGUUUCCAUCACAGAGAUUGCCUGUUGCAUUGCUCCCAGCUGGAAAUGCUUCUGAAGGGGGGGAGGGGAGGACUAUAAAAAGAAAGGGGAAAUGCCCCAAGUCACCCCUCCUCCUUCUCUCUCUCUCUGUCCAUUGAUUCACUGAAUGAGAAGGAACAAAGGAAGCAGCCUUUACACAUAAGAAGGGGUCCUGGCCUAAGGAGUUUGGUCAGUAAGACCGUUUAGAACAUGUGGUGAGAAGAACUUUGCAUUGAAUUUAACAUAGUUUGUUCACUUAGGCACUAGUUGCAUUUUGUCUUUAUUUGUCUUGUAACCAUUUUUGACUUUUAUGCCUUAUUAUCCCUUGUACACUAUACAGUCUUACACCUACUGUCCUAGGGCAUCCUCAGCUCGGCAUGAGUGGGGAUGGAUGCAAAACUCAGGCUGCAGCCUGAGCGUGAAUAUCUAUACUACAAUUAAACAGCCCCUUAGCCUGAGCCCCAUGAGUCCAAGUCAUAUGACAAGGGCCAGUUGCGGGUGUUUCAUUGCAGUGUAGAUAUACCCUGAGUGACCCAGAGCCCCUAUAGUGUCUCCUACACCCCUCUGGCACUCAGCCCAGUGUGUGUAGCUGGAGCAAAGGGGGCAUGGCUGGGCAGCUCUAUGCCUUAAUGCCAAAGGGGGCUGCAGACAGCAGUACACGAGAGCAGCCCUGAGGAUGCUCUAACUUAUGCUGCACGCUGACUUGGUUCCAAGCUGGUCCCAGGCUUGGGAAAGUGUAAAGGUGGCUUGAAACUACCUUUGUUCACUGCCCCCAAGGCCCUACUCUCUGAGUCUUGUAUUGAGUGCAGCUUGGCCAUGCUGGAAGAUUUGGGUCUUCAUCUUUAAAGCAAUUUGCAAAUAUUGGGGUAAACCACUUUGCCUUACUCAUGUUACUAGUCCCAUUGGCUUCAGUGGGACUACUUGCAUCAAUAAGAUAAUCAGGAGGCUAUUAACCAAUUAAUCCUCUCAAAAGCUCUGUGAGGUAGGUACUGUAACCAAGAAUUAUCCACAUGUUAUAUAUGCCAAAGCUAUUGUAAGUAAAGUUUACUAGUAAGUAGAUUAAUAUGUUUUGUAAGGGGCAAAAACUUGAGAUGGCUUAUAAAAUCUUACUCAUUUGAAAAGGCAAACCACAUUUUAUCGAUUUAUUUUUAGUAACUGGUGAGUCAGGCCUAACAAUGAGUCAGGCCUUCUAAGAAAGCCUUUUUAGCCUUGCACUGUGUAACCAUUUUUAGGGCUGUACCCUGCAAGGUGCUGAGCAACCUCCCUGAAGUCAAAGGGAAUUACUCAGCAUCUUGCAGGAUCAGGCCCUUACAAAGUAGACAUAGUGUGCCCAUUGGAUAUGUCUAUACUACAGCUGGGAGUCAGCCUUCCAGCCUGGGUAAACAGACUUGCAUUAACUUCACUCACACUAGUGCACUAAAAAUAGCAGUGUGGAUGGUGUGGCAGUGAUGUAGAUGUGGGCUAGCCACCCAAACUCAGGCCCAGAGGUUUGGGUGGGCUUGAAAACCCAAGUUGCUGUGUCCACAGCUAUUUUUCAGCGUGGUAGCUUGAACAGAGCUAGCGCAAGUCUGUCCACUGGGCUAGGAAGCUUGCUCCCAGCUGCAGUGUCGACAUCCAUGAACUCCAGGGAGUUUUGGAUCAGGCCCAUUGUAAUUUUAUGUUCUUUACCUUGUGUGACUUCAGAGUGCUACAUGAUUGUUGAAGAUAGCACAGCAGCUUAAUUUUUAAAAAGAUCAGCAUGCACUUAGCAUUUGCUUUUUAAAAUUUAAAUUGAAAGUUUGUUUAUUUUUUUAUUUAUUUGUGUUUGUAGUGGGAUAAUUCCCUUGCAGCCUAGAUUUCUCUGUCUUUCAGAAUACAGUAAUGCCACCCAGCUAAUUUUUCGUCAUUAAACCCUCAAGCAGUUACUAAAGGGAAAAAUUAUAAUUCUGUCUCUUCCACAGAAAUGAAAAUUUGCAAACCUAAGAUUAGGUAGAAUACAUUAGCAUAUGCACAAGUGCUUAAUUACAUUAGUGAUGCAAAUGUUUCGCAAGAUUAUGCUUUUGUAAACAAAAUGAUCUUCUUAUUAUAGAGAAUUUGUGAUAACUGCAAUGUAAAGGAGCCUCGGAGGAAAAAUUAGGAGAAAUGAGGAGGACUACUGUAUUCAGUGCCUAAGACAAGGGUUUCCUUAAAAUACAUUGAAUCCCCAGUAUUUCAUUAAAAAUGUCUGUUUAAUUUUACAUGGUAGAUUCUAUAACAACCCUUUUUUUACUAUAUGGUUUAUUUUUACUUUAAUGUAAUAGAACUGGAGAAAUUAUGUCACAGAUAGCUAAGCUUCUGGAUAUUCUAAACCCCAACAAUUGGAAACAUGCAUUGGUAUAGAACUAAUUUCACACCUUCUGCAUUAAAACUUGGAAUAUAUAUUCAUACAUUUAUUUUACAUAAUAUUAUAAAAUACAUUAAGUGGCAUGAAAUAUAGUGCAAUGAAUAGGUGGAAUUUUUAGGAAACAGGCUCAUUUUAUAUUUGCACCUGUAGAUGGUAUUCUGCAUCUUCAAAUUGGUGCUUACAUGUCAAAAAUAAUAUUUUUUCCAUCAGUCACAAACUGUUUACUAACAAGUGUUACAGUUUCUUACAUUUUUAUUUUUAUUUUUGCUGUUAGGUUUAAUUAUAAUUUCCCACAAUAAACUUUUUCUCUUCAACAGAAUUACUUCUGUCCUAAGGGCCCAAUCAUGCAUUUCUUGAGCACCCCCAAAAUCUCACUGAAUUGGAUGAGAGUCUUUGCUCCAAAAGAUAUGCAUGAUUGGACCUUAAGGCCCUAAUGAUGUUGGGGAAUGAACCAGUCCUGGCUUUGUUAGUAGCAUAUGACGAUUAAAGGGUCUAUACAUGAUUUGUUUGGGAUGAGCUGCAUAAUUCACUUGUGGCUUUGCAACUAAUUAGUAAUACAGCAGUCCCAAACUCAUGGCAAUAAAACCUUUCUAUCAUUUCCCAUCAUCAUUUAUUCAUGUGUGUGUGUAUAAAACCAGUGUUAAAAAAAUGUUAUUUAGAUUGCAAAGUCAAGCUCUCAAAGUUAGGAAACGCCAGCUAUACGGUUGCCCAGGCAACCUUGUUUCUGCAUCCUUGUGCCCAUUCCAUGCAAUAAAUUACAGCUAGGUCCUGUGGAAAAAGAAGUAUGUGAUCAUGUUAUUAAAGACUGUACCAUAAUGCAUAUACACAAGGGGGAAGCAUGCAUGGGUAACCAUAAAUUUGGCAUUUCCUAACUUUGAGAGCUUGACUUUGCAUCUAAAUAUUAUUUUUGGAGGUAGUUUAAAAAAAAGUAAUUUCCUAAUUUUUUAAAAGGAAAAAGGUAAAAAAUUAUAUUAUGUACAAUUGCAGAAACCCCAUGCAUCUUCAUCAGAGCCUGAAUGGUGAACCUUCAGCAUCACAACACUGAUGUCCAUCACUAGAGCUACUGGACUAGCUACAGUGUUUGGCAGCAGGAGAAAGCUAUUAUGCUGCUUUUAUUUCAUUGUAUUUUAUGAUUAAUUAAAUCAGGCCUAGAGCCUUGCACAGGCCUUUUUAUCAUUUGAAAUCCAAAUAUAGAAAAUGAAAUUAAAAAAUUCUUAGAGGAGCCUGGUGCUGGGUCCAGGGUCUCUUGGCCAUGUUAAAGUUACUCAGGCAGCUCCCUGGCUGGAUCCUCAGCUCUAGUCAAUGGAGCUACACCAGUUUACUCCAGAUGAGGAUGAGGAUCUGGUCUCAUGAAUAUGUGUAUACACAUACAUACGCACACACAGAGAUAUACUAUGUAUACAUAUUAUAGAGAAGCUAGGAGUGACCGCUAUAUUUAGGUUGUCUAACACUUUCCACUAUAAUAGAUUCUUGUUUUGAGAUGAUCUAACACCUUCGUUUUUUGCAGCAAGCCUUUGAAAUUCAGCAAGGAGAAAGAUCCGAUUAAUAUCACUCUAAUUCAUCUGUUGUAUUAGUGGAAACAAACUCUCUCUUUCUCAUGCAUACACACACACGCAUUUCUAUUGAGAUGCAAUUAAAUGAUUUACCAAUAUCUAGCUAUCUAUCUACCUAUAUAUCUAAUUUCAGACAAUUUCUCUAGUAUCAUGAUGCUUUACUGCCAUGAAACCCAUUUCACAUUUCAUCAGUCCCUCUGAAAAUGAUGGAGUGAGAUCAUUUACCCAGUUCUUGUUAAUGGGUUGGGCCUUUUUUAUUCUUACUACACAAAAUGAGAGAAUAGCAUGGCAAAUUCAUAUCCAUUACUAUAACAGAUAUACUGCUUGAUACUAGUCAGAUCUUGUUUAAUAGUUGCGCUAAUAAAGAAAAAUAUCUGUGAUUUGAGAACUUUUAAAAUCAGAAUAAUUGGUAGAUCAUUUUCUGGUCUGUAUAAACUCCUGUUCUAAUUGAAAAUGUGCCCAAUCCACAAACUUCAGAUCUUUAUCCAAAUUGUUCAGGAAUGGUUCAAUUCAUGGGUUUGCUUUUGGACUUCUGUAGUUCUGACAGUUUCUAUUUUAAAUAUGUAAUCAUAACUAAUAAUACUUUGCAGUUCUACAGAGCGAUUCAUCCGAACAUCUCAUUGCCCCUUACAAAACUUUAUUAUCACAAUCUUCUGAGGUAGUCAAGGGAGAUAAAGGAAUCAUUUCACCCAAACUGAAAUGCAGCUAUCUCUGGAAUGGAAUGUGGCAGCUGUUUGACAGGAUACAGUAAUGCAGUUUGGGACAGGAAACAGAGAAGAUGUUUGUGUUCAUCUGAAACUAAAGAGGAAAUUUUCAGUGUAAAAAUGUAAUACCCAAUCUAGAAUCUGGCUUGAGACUAGAGUAACACUCCUACUCUAAGAAAUGUGCUAUGGUCCCAUACUUUCUGCUGCACUCAGCUUCCAUAGACCUUAAAUUAUUGUAGUUAUAUUAGGAAAUCAGAUACUGUGCUAAUGGGUGCAUUAUAGGUACCUAGAUGGAUGGAUAUAUAUUUAAUUGAUAUUUCAAAUUUACAUAGUUCCGUUGGCGUGAAAGAGCCUUUUAAGGUGAAAAUGCAUGGACAGUUAAGGGCCUGUUUAACUUCCUGAACUCAACAAGGAGUGAUACGUAAGAGUCUGUUCAUACCUCUAACUUGGGCCAAGCUUGUUGGGGAUGUUUCGAGAAACCAAAAUAGGACUAAAUUUAAAAGAAAACUAAAUUAUUUUAGUUCUCAGAUAAGAUGUUAACAUAUUAUUCUUUUCGCCAGUGGAUGUGAUUUUUCUGAAAGCAUCCACUAUAUUUUGAUUUAAUUAUUGCCCUUUUGAAAGGUUUAGAAACUAAUACAGCGUUCCAUUUUCUGCUGUGUAGUUCAUGCAGUAUUCAUAUAUACAAUAUCAUUACUUUCAAAUGAGUUUGUGAUAAAAGGAACCGGCCGUAUUCCAUUGGCCUUCUCCUUUUUGUUUAAAGAGGCAUGCUUCCACUGCAGAGCAGUAAUGGCAAUAGUGCUUUGGCAAACAGCUGUAAAACAAGAAAAGUCCCACUUUCCUGUAUUAAUCCAUCAGGACGCUUUCAGGGAUUCUUCUUGUCUAAAAUAUUCAUAGACAGCAAAAUGUCCUGAAUGCCCUACAGAAUUUGUGCAGAGCCAGGCAGAUGAUUGAUAGUGAAGUUCUGUUCUGAGUCACUCCCAGUAUGUAAUUCUAUUUGUCUUGCCAAACACUAAAGAGCAAGCAUCUCAUAAAAUGUAAAGGUAACAGGCCUUGUAUUUUCCCACAUUUAAAAAAAGAACCUGGUGUCUCCACUUCACUGUGCUUCAUUGAAUGUAACAAAUUUCUAUUAAAUCAAAAGAGAAAGGCAUAGUGUUCCUGGAGGAGUACUUAAAAGCUAUAUUAAGCAGCUGUCAUUUAUUGUAUCUUAUAUGUAUAUGCGUAUAUAAUUUCAAAAAGUCUCCACCACAGAUUACAUCAUAAAAAAUUUACUUCUUAAAUAAAUCAGUGAGAUAGCUCCCUUCCUUCCUUUGUUAUGACAUUCAAAAGAAUGUUUUUUUCAAGAUCGCACCAUUCAGACUAAGUACACCCCCCUCCAUUAAAAUAACAUUAAGGCAGAAACUCCAGUCUUUACUCACCCUGUUGUACCCAGAUAAAGUGGAUGAUAUAAUGCAUUAAUGAGGCUGUGGUAUCUAGAUUUAUUAGAACUUUCAACCACCAUUGUCUCCAAUAGCAUCGUGGUCAAGUUUGCAUGCCUUAUUGUAUUGGCCAUUACUACUUCAUCAAUGAUAUCCUAUUGUUUUGUUGGCUCCUGAGCAGCAAUGUGCAAAAGAACAAAUUAAAGAUGAAGUUUCAGCUUAAAUGCUGGCUUUCAUUGGUUUUCUUAUUUUAAGCCAGGAUAUCAACAUUGUUUAACAUUUGGUAUUGCAUUUAUUUGUUUGUAUUAGGGAUAGUAUCCAAGUGCUUGCCUGCUAGCUGGCCUGCCUGAUAACAUGCACUUAGCCAGCAUCUUUAUUUCUAGUCCUGCUGCGUCUUACUUUUACUGUGCAAAGUCUCACUGAAAGAAAUUGUGCAAGUGUCCUGUUAAACAGACACUGCUGGGAACGAGAGUCAGGCACAAUCAAAAUGGUGUAAGAGUAGCAAUUUUUAGUAUUCGAAAUGCUCAACAAAAUGUCAGAUUGGGAAGAAAAAGGGUUAGCAAGUUAUCCACCCAGCAGUGGAAUGAGUCCCGUGUAGUGGUCUUUAUUGGCCAUCCAGGCCUACAUAGUUAAGGCAGCUGACUUCAGCCUUAUCUGCCACCUCAUCUCACAUUUAGCCAAGCUAUGAGAUCGGCAAGAUGCCACUGUCCCCCAAUCCACCCUUCCCUUGUCUCUGAUAAGAGUGCGCACAAAGGUUGUGUACUUGACCUAGCAGCACUCCAUCCUUAUGCCAAUCAAAACUUCAGGUCCCAGUCAAAAACCACUCACAGGCCUGUGUUCAGGACUAGGAUAGGUAAAUGACCCUGCCCCCACCAUUAGACCAUUGGUCAAGUGCUCAACAAAGAGAGCAAAUUUAUGCUUUUAACAUUUAACCCUUAUAAAUGCUUCGGGGAACAUAGAAACCUCCAACCAUCAAUCUAUAGUAGGGGAAAACUGAUUCCUGAAAACAACAGGCAAUCCACAUAGAGCUGAAGCAAGCUGUUUAACCCAGUGCUCAAACCCCAGAACCAUACUCAAUAUCCACUAGAAAAUUCAUGGUGGGAGGAUGGGGCCAAGCUUCCAGCUAAAAGACUCUCUCCCACUCUGAAACAAUAUCCCCCUCCCCCACCCCGAAACUGGAAUAGGGGAACCAAUAAGCCCUUCCUGCAGCCUGUAAAUAGACCAAUCAGUGCCAUCGGCACACAGAGGCCUCCUCCAUGUGGUGGCCACAAAUGCUAUGGGGGACGGGGCUGUUUCUGUCCACUGUAAGGAGUCCAGAAGUGCAAGUGCCCCACUGCUCCAAACAAAGGACACAUCACAGUGAGUGGGGAAGCUGUCCUUAGGAGUGAGAUUUACAGAACCAAAGAGUGAGAUUCAAGGCCAAAAAGUAAGAUUUUCGAGGUGGUGUGCUAGGUCAUUGCUUUAGACCAGGGAUCGGCAACCUUUGGCACGCGGCCUGUCAGGGAAAUUUGCUGGCAGGCCGGGCCGGUUUGUUUACCUGCCGCGUCUGCAGGUUCGGCCGAUUGCA